Molecule: unclassified non-coding RNA, 2884 nt
Filed under: Hevea brasiliensis (rubber tree)
Lineage: Eukaryota; Viridiplantae; Streptophyta; Magnoliopsida; Malpighiales; Euphorbiaceae
Source: RNAcentral
UUUUUUCCUUUUAAUUUUUUCAGAAUUCAUUAAGCAGCAGCAACAAAUUGCAAAUAUCUGAGCAGCAAAUUCAACAAUUACGGGGAUAAAUAGGAAUAUAGAAAAUUCUAAAAAUUGUUGUAGUAGAGAUGUAUAGCAACAGAGAGUUUAAAGACAACAUUCUACAAUCAACAGGAGAAGAAUGAACAUGAAACAGCAAAUCACAACUUUGAAGAGAAACAAGAUUUGUACAUCUCCAUGGUCCAGGCAAUUAACACACACCAUCAUUCUCCAGGAGAUGUCUCUUUCUAUUUCAUAUUACAUUUGAUGUCCUCCUGCAGUAAAGGCAAUAUUUAGCAUCAAGAAACCGAUCAAUUUUAUUGAUAGAUAAAAACAUGCAUUAUAAAUUGCAGGUUAACUUUGAACUGCUAUGAUCCAAUGACUAACACUAGUGCUCAGGAUAAGGAAAUUCAGUUCUUUAAUACAAUAGUAUUUUAUGCAAGCAUGGCUUAUUCAUUUGAACGAAGGCAAACUUCCCAGAUUAAUGUUUUUUAAAAUAAAAACUAAAUUGUUGACAAAUUAAUUCUGUAUCCUAAUUAAAAAAAACUAAACAGCAGAAAAAAAUUCAUCCAGACACAGCUUUAAAGCAGCUCUAUUGGGGCCAAAAUAGCAUUUCGAGACUCUGUAGGCCUCAUAAAGACCUCUCCUACUCACUAUGGUAUAUGGCUUGAACAUCCAGACUGCCAAAAGUUAGUGACGCAUAUCUUUUUCUUCUCUUUAUCAGCUAAAUUAUAGUGGCAUAAUAUUACUCAUCAAUUGAUUUCUGAAAUAGACCUAUAUUACAGAAAACCAAAUGAAAUAUAUAUUUUAGGAUAGAAAUUGGAACUGUGGAAUACGCACAUUUGACAACUUUGAGCUGAAAGUUGAAUCUGUUGAAAUGAAAUUCUGACAAUGAUGCAAGUUGCUCACACCAAUCAUUCAUUCAGAGAGUGUGCUUCCAAAAGAUCCUAUUCCUUAGUUAGCAUAAACAUUCAACCUCACCCGAGCAGUAACUUCAGGAUGAAGCUUAAGCUCAGCAAUAUAUUCUCCUGUUUCCCUGAUUUCUGGAAGAGAAACAAUUCGUUUGUCCACGUCCCUAGCAUCAAUAAAAAUCAUAGAGCAACCAAAUAGAUAAGCACAGGCAUGAAAGAUACAUGCAUAUGUGCAUAAUUGUGCUUGUGAAAACAAUUUACUUGUCCACAUCCAUUAGAAUCAAAGCAAUUAGAUAAGUACAUAUAUCGAAGACAAAAUAUGCAUAGGCACAGUUGUGUCUCUUACCUGUCAACAUAUUUAGGGCUAAGAAGCCUAUAUUUGUAUUUUCCAACCGAUAAACUAUAAUCCGUAUCCCACUAGAGGUUCACAAAGUUAUAGACUGCUCAAUGCAUGGCCUAAAACAUGAAAAGUAGGUGAAAAGAAAACAUCCUAUAACUCAUCUCUAUAUUACUAAUAGAUGAGGUCAGAUGGCAUACAUUUGAAGGUUCCUAGAAAGAGGCCAACGAGUCUGUUAGAGUGAUACACAUACAUGUGCAACAGUCCAAUCACACAAUGAAAAAAAAAUAGGCCAGAGUGGUUUAGAAUAUAAAUACCUAAGUAGGCUAUACAUUACAUAGGUUAAACUUUUGGGUCAGGUGAACUUUUUUGGGUUGGGUGGAGCAAUCUAUUAGCAGUGCCAGUGAACUUCAAAUACACAUAGAGUUGCCACUUGCCCAUCAAAAAAGAUACUAUGAAGGCUUCAGCAUCGAGGUAUCAUUAGCUGAAAAAGACCCUGUUAGGCCUACUCCAACUUGGGGGUUUGGACCCAGGGCAAGGGGGAGUAAAAUGUGAAACAUUAGGCUUAUAGUUUGUGUUUGUAUCCACAAUAGCCAUCUGAUAAGUAAAUUGCAAGUAAUUAGAGGUUCUUUGGAAUUACAUAGAGAAUUUAGAAUAACAUGGAGUACAAGGAAUGAAGGAGUAAAGGUGGAAAAUUACUUCUUGCUAAGGUAAGGGUUUCUAGAGUUAUGUAAUAAAAUUCCAGAGCAUACUAGCAUACUUCACAGUACUAAGAUAAUGAAAGGUACUGCAUGGUAAGCCUAAAUAUAUAGGAGAACGGUACCUCUGAAGCUGUGCCUUGAUGAUGUUGACAAGAUCUUGAGAGGUUACACUUCCAAAUAUUUGUUUUCCCUUUCCACCUUUGCGCUUCACCUUGAAAGCUCCAACAGUUUCAAAAAUAAGAGCAAGCUGCUGUGCCUCUUCUUUUACCCGCUUUUUCUCAGCUUCAAUUCUUUCCUCUUCCAUCCGCAUUUCCCUGUAAAGUAAGCCAGAGAAAGCAAUUAAACCAUGACAUUAGCAUUUAACAUGACAAAUAUCUACCAUAAAAUCAGAAUUGCCUGAUGAGUUUUAGGCUUAUAGCAUAUACUUCAGCUGACAAAGAACAAAAACCAGACAACAAAUUCCAAAUAAAUACUUCUGCAUUUUGACGGCAUAAGAGCAGUGAGGCUCAAACAACAUCAUUUUAAAAAGCACCCUCUUAGUGUCAAGUUUUCUAUGCCUCCUCUUUGUAUCAGUAACAUCGUAAGCUUCUUGGUAAUCACCGUCUGCCUAGCAUGUCUAGAAGCAAAGACAGAUAGCUUCUUGUUUAGUCUAUCCCCAUGGAUUAGCUCCACCCAUUUUCGGCAGCAAAUUCAAGCUUAAAAUAUUGCUUACAAUUUGCAUUGACAUUCUGAGUUUCUGACAUAUGCAUAAACCAACUAAUGUAUUACAUCUUCAUUCCAUUUUGCAUUCCUCAACAUGCAUACAUCUUUUUAACCCAACAUCAAUUAUUACACCCGAGAAAGUGAGAACUUUUGUAUGUGAAAAAGGAAAUCCUUGAAGUUGAAAUAUGCAUCAC